GCUGGGCACGGGGGUGCACACCUGUAAUCUCAGCAACUCAGGAGGCUGAGGCAGGAGGAUUGCAAGUUUGAGAGCAGCCUGGGCAACUGAGUGAGAUCCUGUCUCAA
This 107-nucleotide small RNA is filed under the name Marmota monax (woodchuck). The record is from RNAcentral. Lineage: Eukaryota; Metazoa; Chordata; Mammalia; Rodentia; Sciuridae.